RNAcentral lists this transfer RNA (72 nucleotides) under Marmota monax (woodchuck). It matches the Rfam family "tRNA". Rfam says of the family: Transfer RNA (tRNA) molecules are approximately 80 nucleotides in length. The record is from Rfam by way of RNAcentral. Lineage: Eukaryota; Metazoa; Chordata; Mammalia; Rodentia; Sciuridae.
GGGGACAUAGUUCAGUGGUAAAGCACUUGCCUGGCAUGAGCAAGGGCCUGGGUUCCAUCCUCAGUACCCCCC